Pieris rapae (cabbage white) is the source of this 596-nucleotide long non-coding RNA. RefSeq lists it as uncharacterized. The record is from RefSeq and is a predicted model, not a curated record. The transcript is spliced from 2 exons. NCBI's taxonomy places the organism in Eukaryota, Metazoa, Arthropoda, Insecta, Lepidoptera, Pieridae.
UUUUUGUGGUGAAUUUUGAGGUGAUCAAACAAAACAUAUGGAGAGAAAGGGAUUCCACAUUUUGUACAAUAUAGUACUCUUCCAGGACUUUUUUUACAUGUUCUUUUGCUUGACUUUUGCUCAUAUAUUGAUAAUCCAUUAACUAGAUGCUUCAACCAAAUAUCAUCGUUGGCAACAUAAUAAUAUGGUUCAAAAUAGUACACCUCUCUGCCAUUAAUUGAAUCUUUUGAAUUAAAAUCUUGUGCCGGAUGUUGUAUGGUUUUUUUUUGGUCCCUAUUAUUUAAUAUAUGAAGUUGACAAUGUUCUAUAACCUUAUCAUAAGAAUAAAUUUGUGUAAAACAUAAUUUACAGAAAUAUAAAUCAUUAUCAACUAUAAUUUAUAUUAUCCUUUUGAAUAUUACUUAAAGGAUAAACUUCCUCUGUGGGUAGUUUUUCUAUUUUAGUAAAAAGUAUUUAUAUUACAUACUUUCAUUCAGUUCAUAUUUGUGAAAUGGUAAAUGUAAUUUGUGCACAAUUUCAGAAAACUUCAUGUUGCAUAUUGAACAUAUAAAAACUGGCUCUUCUCCACAUAUGUGAUUAUUUAAGGCAAAUCUGUU